GGGGGAAGGGCCAUAGCUCAGUGGUAGAUCAUCUGUCUUCCAUGCAGAAGGUCCCAGGUUCAACCCUUGGUACCUCCA
This is a non-coding RNA of Podarcis lilfordi (Lilford's wall lizard), 78 nucleotides long. The record is from the annotation of a GenBank genome assembly. Lineage: Eukaryota; Metazoa; Chordata; Lepidosauria; Squamata; Lacertidae.